Papaver somniferum (opium poppy) is the source of this 4062-nucleotide long non-coding RNA. RefSeq lists it as uncharacterized. The transcript has 6 exons. The record is from RefSeq and is a predicted model, not a curated record. Lineage: Eukaryota; Viridiplantae; Streptophyta; Magnoliopsida; Ranunculales; Papaveraceae.
CCUGUUUCACAGACCAACUCAUCUCUAUCUUUUUCUUGUUUUUUCUCUAAAAGUCUAAUAGAGAUCAAGUCUUCUUAUUGACUUCCUCUCUCAUCUGUUUCAUUAUUUGCUCUCAAUCGACCUUCAUCGUCUUCUUCUGCAAUUUUUCCAGAUCCAGAAGGUGGAGUAGAAGUCAAUACCCUCAAACAAAUAACUGAUUUCAAUGGUAGUGUGUGUUUCAGUAAUAAAAUCCUUCUCGCGACUAAUUUGAUUACUUCAACUGGUUCCUAUUGACGUUGUGGUGGUAGUGAUGAAGUAGAAGAUGACUCAGUUUGCUAAUUAGAUUUCUCGUUACAUUGCUUAUUUUUUUGAGUUGGGUCAUUCUUAGGUUCCAUGACAUGAGCUUUUAAUAGGGCAAGAAACAGAAGGUGGUAACUGGUUAUCAAGAAUUCAGGGUUUGGUUGUAUGCAGAACUUCGUUAUUUGUGAUGUUUUGAUCUUUUUUUUGGUUGGGGUUUUGGUGAUAUGAUCAAUUUUUUUUUUAAAUGUUGAUUUUGAAGAUGAGGAUGAAUAUUUGUGAAGGACCUUAUGGAAUGGGGAUGUGUUUGUUUUCCUGAAGUGGUCAAAUACAGGGAUUGAAUUAUUGAUGAUGGAUUUGCUGGUGGUGGUGGUGGUAGAACUAUUAUUACUUAAGGUGACUGCUAUGAUGGAAAAAUAUAAGAACUAUGACUUCUGGAGAUGUACUAAAGUUUAUUCACAUGGACAAAAUUGUGCCUUCCAGUUGGACAAUCAUACAUUCCUCGGUCAAGUAUAGUGAAGAUUAACUAUCCCAAGCACGAAGAUAUAUACUAUCUUAGAGUUUAUUGAUGAUUGUUGGUUGAGUAUUUGAUUGUUGGUUAAUUGGUUUGUAUUGGUUGUUGAUUGCAGCUUAAGGCUGCUGGAGACAUGAUCAUACAAAGUCAGGUACAUAAACACAAAUUUAUUGUAUUCGAAAAAUCUCCGUCUCAAAGAGAAUCUUUUAGGGAAAAGUUUUUAUUAAAAAUUUAAAGAGAUGUGCAGUUAGAAAGACAACAUUUUUGUAAUAUCAUGUAGACACAUCUAUAUUGAAGUGGUAUUGCGAUAGGUUAAUGUUCUCACUUAGUUGUUCGCAGAAGAUCAGUCUAGUUAGUCUUGCAAAGGGUGUCAUUAAUUCUUGUUUACGACAUUCGAUAUUUACGGAACUUGUUCUUAGUUUUUAAUUAGUGUUAUGGGUUGACUACAAGGGGGAAAUUCAGUUGGAGAAUCCUCACCAAGCAGGGAUAGUUUACCAGUAGAAAGCAUAAUCGAAGACCUGCAGUCGCCGAUCAGAAAGCUCGAACGAUAGCGUACAGUCAAUACGUUAAACUAAAUUCUCGUUCUGACAUUAUUGUCGAUGUUCUUUCAUUUUCUCAUUUCCUUGUUUAAGCCCUUUAACUCCAUAUGAUUUAUUUUUCUGGCCGGUGCUUUGGACCCUUCUAAUAUAUGCUCUUUUUGGGUAUUCACUCUACCAACGAAAACGUCAGCAACAGUGACUGCACAAGUGAAUUUGCUGGAACACCAGUAGCUUUUGAUGCCCCUUCUUUUCUGUUUGUUUUUAGAUGGACCUUGGUAACUCAUAGUCAUUGGGGGUAUUAGGGGUCAAUUUAAAAUAAAAUACAUUGGGUUUUAAGUAGGAAAUCCAAGCGUGUGUUGCCCAUCACCUGUCCCUUCUCGGACUGUGGUUGAGUGAAUCCACCUUGAUUGAAUUGUAUAUAUAUAUUAAUUAAUUAAAAUCAAAUUUAGCAUUCCAUCCCUCUUUUUUCUUAUAGGACUGCCUAUUGGAGAUGAAUUUUCACCCUUCAACAACUCCUAUGACACACUGACACACAUACAAAGCCUGUAAUAUUCAUCGAUUAACCAUAUAAUUAGUCAAAUUUGUCGGUUGGAAUCUUAUCUCCAGAAAUUUCAACAAAAUGAUACUAGGAUCAGAGAGAGAUUAAACUGAAAGGAUAGGUUAGCUGACUUGAGAGUGACUGGAUUGGACAUAUUAACUACUGCUAUUCAAGUUCAACCUAGUCUAAUCGACGUAUGAGUAAGUUGGAGUUCUUAGAGCUAUAAUGCAAUGUUAAUAUGCUAUAAAUAGUAUGUUGUAUCUAGGCCAUUCUGCAUAUUCACUCAUCAAACAAAUUUUAUUAAGUUAAAUUUCUUUUCAUGUCAUGGCUUCUUUCCGUAAGAAUACUGAAGUAACAUUAUUUCCUAUAUUUUUUGUUUAUCUUUAUUUCUUGAUCUAUAUUUUAUCUAGUGAAGUAACAGCUCAUGGAUGCCAUGAAGAGGAAAGAAGGGCUCUCCUCAAUAUCAAGUCAUCUUUGUAUGAUCCUUCAAAUCGCUUGAUCUCUUGGGGAGAAAGCAGACAAAGUGAAAACUGUUGCAAUUGGCACGGAAUUAGAUGUUCAAAUGACACUUUUCAUGUAAUCUCUAUCGACCUUCGAAGCAGAGAACUUGAAAGUUACCAAAUUGAAAAGGAAGAAAUUUUCAAAAUUGAACGAAAAUUGUCCUUUACAUUCAGGCCACCAAAUACUAUGUUGCAAGGUAAAAUCUAGGGCUGCACAACGGGUAGGGUGGGUAGGAUAUGGCCUAUACCCGCCACCCUACUCGUUUACUGGCGGUUAAGAAAAAUUUUACCCGCCACCCUACCCGCCAUUAAACGGGUAAGAUCCUAUCCAACCCAUUUUCUGGCGGGUCGGGUAGGGUAGGGUCGCGGGUAUAACCGUUUAUUUUUUUUUCUUUUGCGAAUUUCGAAGGUUAUUGAACCUGGAAACGAUAAAGAGCCAGAUGAUGUAGAGAUUAAGGUGCCUGAACUUAAUGCUAAAGAUGUGAAACUAUGGAGAAGAUUAUUGCUGGUAAGGUGUUUGAACUAAUACUACAUCACGGUUCUUUGGUUAACCCCAUUAUUUACAUUUACACAUUUUAUUUAAUUUGCUACCAUAAUCACACCAAAUUAGAAGGGACAUGGUUUUCUUUCAACGGAGAUGCAGUAUAACUAGUGCUAGUCGAGCCUUCUUGCUGAUCACUAAAAAAAACCUUCGAGACAGGAGCUUCAUUAGUAUGAACGACGUCAUGUUGUUGUAUUACUAAAACUGAUGAGUUCACACCUCCUGAUGAAGCUAAAAUAUCUCCGAUUGGUUCCAAUUCUGCAUGUUCAGCGGUAUGUUCUGCUAAACUUGCUACCAUCGUCGAUGGAAAUCGACCUUUUCCCACUAUUAUUAAAAAAGGAUAGGGAUUAUUUGGUCUUUUACAUAUAUGAGGCGGGUAAGCGGGUAGGGUAGGAUAAUUUCGGAUUAUAUCCGUCACCCUACCCGCUAACUGGCGGAUGAAAUAAUGUUUACCCGUCACCCUACCCGCCAAAUAGUGGAUAGGAUAGGAUACGGUUAAAAAACUGGCGGGUAGGGUAGAAUUGGCGGGUAAGGGUAGGAUAUGUGCACACCUAGUAAAAUCUCUCCCUCCCUUUUCAACAUUACACAUCUUGAGUAUCUUGAUCUUGCGUACAAUGAUUUUCAGGAAUACAUAUAUAUAUAAUUUUGAAGCUGACUAGUUUUACCAAAUGGUUCCACUCUUUGUAGAACUUGAUAUUAACAUGGUCAGUUUUCUUCCACUAUUGUUUAGUAUGUAGCAUACUAAUAAGGCCUUUGUUGCACAAAUAAUCACUUGUUUAGUAUCUCAGGAAAUUCCCUGCUUGAGAAGUCAUACGGAUUGAUUUCUUUCGUAGUCCAGUAUCUAAACCGGAAACAACACAGCCUAUAGUUCAGGAACAAACAAAAGUUUAAUAUUUGUGCCAACUGAAGAAGGUUCUACGUAACUUUCAUUUUUCUUCUUUUAGCUAUUAAAUGUGUUAGUUCUUUGAGUUUUUGUGUUAAACUGUGCUCUUUAUGUUGUUGGAUUCCACAUGUAUCUUUUAAAAAAACUUAUUAGGACUUGUAUUAUUCGAAUUCAGGAUUUGAAUCCUCUUUAUGUGAUUUUGAAACUAAAUGUCAAUUGAAUUCAGUUAUGGGUUGUGCAAUGAAUACAAUGAAUGUUUAAUGGAAUGGAA